GACGAACGCUGGCGGCGUGCUUAACACAUGCAAGUCGAACGCUGAAGCUCAGCUUUUGUUGGGUGGAUGAGUGGCGAACGGGUGAGUAACACGUGAGUGACCUGCCCCCUUCUUUGGGAUAACGCCCGGAAACGGGUGCUAAUACUGGAUAUUCACUGGUCUUCGCAUGGGGGUUGGUGGAAAGGGUUUUUCUGGUGGGGGAUGGGCUCGCGCCCUAUCAGCUUGUUGGCGGGGUGAUGGCCUACCAAGGCUUUGACGGGUAGCUGGCCUGGGAGAGUGACCGGUGACAUUGGGACUGAGAUACGGCCCAGAGUCCCACGGGAGGCAGCAGUGGAGAAUAUUGCACAAUGGGCGCAAGGCUGAUGCAGCGACGCCGCGUGAGGGAUGGAGGCCUUCGGGUUGUGAACCUCUUUCGCUCAUGGUCAAGCCGCAACAAUGGUUGUGGUGAGGGUAGUGGGUAAAGAAGCGCCGGCUAACUACGUG
RNAcentral lists this ribosomal RNA (483 nucleotides) under uncultured bacterium. RNAcentral's name for it is "partial 16S ribosomal RNA". It matches the Rfam family "Bacterial small subunit ribosomal RNA", at positions 28 to 507 of the family's 1533-position model. The record is from RNAcentral.